RNAcentral lists this ribosomal RNA (482 nucleotides) under uncultured bacterium. RNAcentral describes it as "bacterial SSU rRNA". It matches the Rfam family "Bacterial small subunit ribosomal RNA", at positions 28 to 507 of the family's 1533-position model. The record is from RNAcentral.
GACGAACACUGGCGGCGUGCCUAACACAUGCAAGUCGAGCGGAGUUGAUCGACGGAGCCUUCGGCGGAAGAUGAUUAACUUAGCGGCGGACGGGUGAGUAACGCGUGGGCGAACCUGCCUCAUACAGGGGGAUAACACAGGGAAACUUGUGCUAAUACCGCAUAAUAUCAUUGGGUGGCAUCACCUGAUGAUCAAAGGAGAAAUCCGGUAUGAGAUGGGCCCGCGUCCGAUUAGUUAGUUGGUGAGGUAACGGCUCACCAAGGCGACGAUCGGUAGCCGAACUGAGAGGUUGAUCGGCCACAUUGGGACUGAGACACGGCCCAGACUCCUACGGGAGGCAGCAGUGGGGAAUAUUGCGCAAUGGGGGAAACCCUGACGCAGCAACGCCGCGUGAAGGAAGAAGGCCUUCGGGUUGUAAACUUCUUUGAUUGGGGACGAAGGAAGUGACGGUACCCAAAAAACAAGCCACGGCUAACUACGUG